GACGAACGCUGGCGGCGUGCUUAACACAUGCAAGUCGAACGGAAAGGCCCUGCUUGCAGGGUUCUCGAGUGGCGAACGGGUGAGUAACACGUGGGUGAUCUACCCUGCACUUCGGGAUAAGCCUGUGAAACUGGGUCUAAUACCGGACAGGAGCCAUUUUUAGUGUGAUGGUUGGAAAGUUUUUUCGGUGUAGGAUGAGCUCGCGGCCUAUCAGCUUGUUGGUGGGGUAAUGGCCUACCAAGGCGGCGACGGGUAGCCGGCCUGAGAGGGUGGCCGGCCACAUUGGGACUGAGAUACGGCCCAGACUCCUACGCGAGGCAGCAGUGGGGAAUAUUGCACAAUGGGCGCAAGCCUGAUGCUGCGACGCCGCGUGGGGGAUGACGGCCUUCGGGUUGUAAACUCCUUGCGCUAGGGACGAAGCUUUUUGUGACGGUACCUAGAUAAGAAGCACCGGCUAACUACGUG
Molecule: ribosomal RNA, 465 nt
Filed under: uncultured bacterium
Lineage: Bacteria
Description: partial 16S ribosomal RNA
Rfam family: Bacterial small subunit ribosomal RNA
Source: RNAcentral